CACGUAGGCACCAAGCGUUGUCCGGAUUUAUUGGGCGUAAAGAGCUCGUAGGCGGUUCAGUAAGUCGGGUGUGAAAACUCUGGGCUCAACCCAGAGACGCCACCCGAUACUGCUGUGACUUGAGUACGGUAGGGGAGUGGGGAAUUCCUGGUGUAGCGGUGAAAUGCGUAGAUAUCAGGAGGAACACCAAUGGCGAAGGCAGCUCGCUGGGACGGUAUUGACGCUGAGACGCGAAAGCGUGGGGAGCAAACAGG
RNAcentral lists this ribosomal RNA (254 nucleotides) under uncultured bacterium. RNAcentral's name for it is "partial 16S ribosomal RNA". It matches the Rfam family "Bacterial small subunit ribosomal RNA", at positions 524 to 776 of the family's 1533-position model. The record is from RNAcentral.